This 468-nucleotide ribosomal RNA is filed under the name uncultured bacterium. Its description in RNAcentral is "partial 16S ribosomal RNA". It matches the Rfam family "Bacterial small subunit ribosomal RNA", at positions 28 to 507 of the family's 1533-position model. The record is from RNAcentral.
GACGAACGCUGGCGGCGUGCUUAACACAUGCAAGUCGAACGGAAAGGCCCUGCUUUUGUGGGGUGCUCGUGUGGCGCACGGGUGUGUAACAUGUGAGUAACCUGCCCUUGACUUUGGGAUAACUUCAGGAAGCUGGGGCUAAUACCGGAUAGGAGCUCCUGCUGCAUGGUGGGGGUUGGAAAGUUUCGUCGGUUGGGGAUGGACUCGCGGCUUAUCAGCUUGUUGGUGGGGUAGUGGCUUACCAAGGCUUUGACGGGUAGCCGGCCUGAGAGGGUGACCGGCCACACUGGGACUGAGAUACGGCCCAGACUCCUACGGGAGGCAGCAGUGGGGAAUAUUGCACAAUGGGCGGAAGCCUGAUGCAGCAACGCCGCGUGCGGGAUGACGGCCUUCGGGUUGUAAACCUCUUUCGCCUGUGACGAAGCGUGAGUGACGGUAAUGGGUAAAGAAGCACCGGCUAACUACGUG